GUAAGAGAUCUUGGGAGAAAAAAAAAAAAACAUCCCUGGCUCUUUCCCUCGUGCCCUGCCCUCCCCCACUUUGCCUAUAGCCAUCCUGUGUAUUCCCUCUCCCUGGUUCCUACCAGAUGCUGAAAAUACACAGUUGAUAAAUUUCCCUAGAUGUGCUGGGUUGUCACCUCUGAUCUCCAAGACUUCCUCUUAUCACAAAGAUGCAAAUAGGGAGAGAGAAAAUGGGAGAAGGGUGAUUAUAGAAGAAAGAAGGAAGAAAACCAGGAAUCAAAGAAAGGAAUCUCACAGUGGGCUGAAAAAUGAUAAUCAUCUUCAAUAAGCCAAUCUAUCAAUCUAAGAACAUUUAUUAAGCACCUAAUAUGUGCUAGGCAUUAUGCUAGGUACCAGAGAUAAAAAGACAAAGAAUGAAAUAUGAACUGCCUUCAUGGAAUCUGUAUUCUAUUAGCACAUAUAUAAGCAUAUAGAGACUAACAAAAAAUAAAUAUGGGGUAUUUUAGGGAGUGAAAACAUAAGUGGUUAAGAGUGUAUCAAGAAAGACUUUGCAUAGAAAAUAAUGCUUAAGCUGUGUCUUGGAAAACCCUGAAGUCUCCACCAGUUCUGGUAGCAAGACUACAUAAAAUGUGAUAGGGUGUAGAUCUGAAUUCUAGCCGUGUGACCUUGGGCAAGUCACAACCAUUCCAGGGCUCAGUUCCUGCAUGAAAUGAAGAGGUUAAGACUUAGUAGCUGCUAAGGUGCCUCAUAUUUCUAAAUCCUUAAUUAUUUUAAGUAGAGUCUAGUCCUCUGUUCAAAUAUCAACCCCAUAUCCAGACUUUCAGAGAUGCCAGUGGUGGUAUCUCAGUGGUACCAGUGGUCUUCUUACUUAAGAAGAGUAUCCUGGGCCCUCCUUGUAAGGCAAUGACAACAUAGAUAUUAGAAAGCUACUGGAAAUAAGGAAAAUUGUUAAGUCUAAAUUGGGUAAUGGAAUAAAGAAGCAACUUUUCCAGGAUUCAUAAACUGGUCUUCCUUACUAUCCCUCCCUGUUACCUCCUCAAUUCAGAAAUGUGUAAGGGUAAAGUGUAAAUGGAACCCAUCAUCAUUAUUAUUGUCAUUUGUGGUAGAAAUGACCAGGGAGAUUUGAUUCCUAGCCACUAGGAGCUUGAGAUACUUCAGAGAUGUUGAACACAUUUUUAAAAAUGGCAUUCAAGUAGCUGAGCAAAAGAACCAAGGCUUGGUAUAAAUUCAGGCAUAUAGGAAAAGAUUUUCUGUUGUCUCAGUUCCAUAUUGACCCUUCCACUGAAUUCCUUUUCCAUAUCCUGUACCACUUCAACCAAAUUUGUUUUCCCUCCAAGUUGAUCUAAGGGAUUUUCUAACAAUAGCUGCUGUAUAUUUAAUGAUUUAUCUGCAUCAUCUCAUUUGAUACUCAAAAAGACCCUGUGAGGUAGGUGCUAUUAUUAUCCUCAUUUUACAUAUCCAGAAAUUGAAGUUCAAAACAGGUAAGUGACUUGUCCACUGAUAAGAAAUUAGUGUUUACAGGUAGAAGGUAAAGGUCUGAACUCACCCCUGUGACUCCCCAAUCAUCUCCUCUCUUUAGUGUUCAAUCUCUCCCUGUCAACUAACUCCCCACCCUGCUAUCUACAAAUUUGGUCAGGCCUCCUGUAUCCUUCAAAAAAAAUCUCUUGGCCUUAUUAUUCCCUUAAAGUAGCAUCCAAUGUAUUUUCUGCAUUUCAUAGCCAAAUUCCUUGAAAAAGCUGUCUAUUCUCUUUGCUUCCACUUCCUCUCCUCUCACUAGAAUCUUAACACUUUGCAAUCUGGCUUCCAAAAGUUGUCUCUAAAGUUACCAAUGGAUUCCUAAUUUCCAAAACCAUUCGUCUAAAAGAUCACUGACAAAAUUUCUCUAUAAGGGUAUACCAGGGCUCUGUGGGAAUAAGCAGGGUCCUAGAGGGCUAAAUUGGGCUUUUCCCUUUGCUCAUCCUGAUUGACCUAUCAGUAUCAUUUGGCACAUCAAUCUUCUCCACUUAAUCGUUCCCUCCUCUUUGGGUUCUGGUGACAUUGCUCAUUUUUGGUUCUCCUUCUUGGUUUAUCUACUCCUCCUCAGUCCAUUUGGGUGAUUCUCUCCUGGAUCAUCUAUGUCUUGUCUCCUAACUAUAAGUAUACCCUAAGAUUGACCAGAACCCUCUUUUCUCUUUUCUCUGCUAUGGUGAUCUCAACUGUUUCUUUGGGUUCAACUAUCAUCUCUUAAGCAAACAAUUAUCUGAUUCAUAUAACCAGGACAAAUCGGUCUCCUGAGCUCCAGUCAUAUAUCCUCAAUUGCUUGGACAUUUCUUCCAUGAUUUCCCAUAAACAUCAACAUAAUUCAAACAGAAGUCAUUAUCUUUCACUCCAACUAUACCCCUUCUCCUAGCUUCCCUAUUUCUGUUGGGGAGAUCAAUUAUUUUAGUCAGUCAGAUGCACAACCUCAAAAAUAUCCUUGAUAUUUAAUUCUCCUAUAUCUACCAUAUUCAAUCAUUUGUGAAGCCAUGACUUCUACUUUCCCAACUUUGCAACAUCCAUUCUUUUUUCCCACUCACAUGACAACCACCUUAUUUAGGCUCUCAGCAUUUCUAACAGAGACUAUUGCACUAACCUCCAAAUUGUUUCCCCUUAUUGAUUCACCUCUUUCCAGUCUAUCCAUCUGCCUAGGUGUGAAAUUAAUAUCCAUAAGGCAGACCUCUGACACCAUGUCAUGACCCUACUCAAAAAAAUUCCAGUAGCUCCUGAUUGCUUUUAAGAUCAAAUGCAAAUUUCUUUUUGGCAUUCUUAGCCCUUCACAGCAUGACUCCAGCCUACUUUUCCAGGUACUAUUCAUAUCCAACUCUCUAUGAUCCCAUGGACUAUACUGUCCACUUUUUUUGGCAAAGAUUCGCCAUUUCCUUCUUCAGUAGAUUAAGGCAAACAGAGGUUAAGUGACUUGCCCAAGAUCACACACAUAGUAAGUAUAUGAGGCUGGAUUUGGAGUCCCCAAUGUUACUAGUGGAAAACACAGAUGUCUGAAAUUAUUUAUUGUAUAUUCUCUCUGCAUGGUGUACUUGAUAAAGAGUAGUUUUUGAUAAAGAGGCUGACAGGGGUGGGAAGCUAGGUGUCUCAAUGAUAGAGAACCCCUGGAGAUAGAGUUCUUGGGUUCAAAUCUGAUCUCAGAUAAUUCCUAGCUAUGUGAUCCUCAGCAAGUCACUUAAUCCCAAUUGUCUAGCCCUUACCUCUCUUCACCUAGGAACCCCAAAAUACUUAGACUCAAUUAGAAGACAGAGGUAAAGGGUUAAAAAAAAAGAAUAGUCUUUGGAGUUGUGAAGAUAGGAUUAACUCUCCCCUUGCCUAUUUUUAGCUAAUCAAAUCAAAAAAUUUAAGUACCCCUACUUGACAUUAAGUUAGAUUUCUCAAGUCACUUGCUAAAGUGGGUGACAACUCCAGAGGCUACUGCCCAGCCCUUGGUGUUUUUGUCAAAACUAAAGCUUGUAUUGAUAAGCUAAAGCUGUUAUAACUAUAAAUGAACUAAGGUUGGUACUGAGUAUUGCUAGAUGGAUGAUAAUGCCAAGCUGUUACAGUAAACUAAAGCUGUCAGGGUUAAACUAACUUGUGGGCAGUGGAUGGAAGGCUGGAAACAGUUGAAUACAACCCUUAUUUAUUUUCUUCUAUGGGAAGAGGUAGGGAGAGGAAAUAGAAGGAUAGAAAUUAGGAUUUGGGACUAAGAUAGGAAAUCUCGUAACCUUAUACUAAAAUCUCUAAAUAGAACCUCCCUGCCCCCCAAAAAACCAACUAGCUGAUUUCUUUGCAGCCUCUUCUUUGCCUGCAAGCAGGCCACCUUAGACUAUUCUCUCUAAACUAAAAUUAAAUUCUGUCUUACUACCCUAUGCUAAAUGAUGAACCUUAAAUUAAUAAUGAACUCCUUAAAGUAACCCCAAAGCUGCCAGAACCAACUGUCAGAGUGACCUCUUGACAGAGAGUGAACCUGAACAGCUCAGGACUCCUCUUCCCUCAAAUCCAAAUGGCAGACAGUCCAGCUGUUCUGUCCAUUCUGAAAAGAACAGACCUCCCAGUCACUGUCUUCUUCCCAACUCUGUAUUGCAGACAAAAUCUAAACCUUCACUGCCAGAUUCUCCUGAUGUAGAGAGAAAUCUGAUCCAGCACCUUCCAACUCCACUCAGCCAAGGCCAGAGCAAAAUGGAGUGUCUAACUGACCUUAUUCCCUGGUUUUAUGCUUUUCUCUUAAAGGACCAGAAGCAAGAUCUGUCUUUUCUAUCUCUUAAAGGAGACAGCAUACAAAUAAAAAAAAAAAACACCUUUCUCUGACCUAAACUUCUGCUCCUAAUGAGACAGAAUACACUAAAUAAAACUCCUUAUAACAUUGGGCAAUGCUAAGCAAAUUGAAAGACUGUGAUUGGUUCCCAUAAAGUGGGGAAGGGACAGGAAGUGACAUGGAAAAAAGACUAUUAAAAAGUCCUGAACUUCCUGUCCAAGGGUCUUCUCCUUUGGACUUCUCCUUUGAACUUAUUCUCCUUUGUAGUUCAUCUUUGGAGACUCUGCAACUCUGCAUCAGUGAGCUGGACUGAUAGAGGUGACUCUUUCCCUGGAUCCUGUGUCAGAUUGCUGGGUCACUAGUUGCCCCUGCCAACUCAAGCAGAGCCUGGUGAUCAUCUAUAAGUAGUUUCCUCAUCUGUCAAAUGAGCUGGAGAAGGAAAUGGCAAACCACUCCAGUAUAUUUGCCAAGAAAAUCCCACUUGGAGUCAUGAAGAGUCAGAUGUGACUGGACAACAAUAACAAUCGUGGAGAACUGUGGGCCUAAAAGACAACUCGAUUUGAAGUCAAAAGAUACUACUUGUGUGAGGAGCAAGUCACCUCUCCUUUGGGGGCCUUAGUUUUCUUGUCUGAAAAUGAGAGGAUUGGACUAAAUUAACAGUUUUAAGAUCUAAAGUCUAAAAAACCUUUUAUACUCUUAAUAAUCAUUGAGGAUUCUCAAAGAACUUUUGCUCAUGUGAGUUAAAUCUACCUAUGUUAACUAUAAAGAAAUGAAAACCAAACCAAAACAAAACAAAACAAAUGAAAACAUCUUAGCAUUAUUACAAAAAUAGUUUUGACUUCAUUGACUCCCCUAAAGGGCUAUAAGGAUCCUGAAGGGUCUUCAUACCACAUUGAAAACCUUUGGAGCUGACAACCUCUGAGAUCUUUACCAGCUAUAAAUCUAUGCUCCUAUUGUCCUAAAUCUAUGACUAUGCCACUUGAAUUACAUGGUAAUUGAGAAGAAAAGACUGACGUGAAAAUUAUUGCUAAAGAAAAAAGGAUGUGAUUUGGGGAUUAAAAUUGAGGAAGGACGAAUAAAAAAUGACAAAUAUUUGGGAUUUUCUUUUGGUGGAAAAUAUGACUCACCAACCAAAAUAAGGAUAUCAGAAGGGAGAGCUGAUUUUGAGGAAAAGGUGAGUAAUUAAAUUAUAUUUUUCAAGGAUCUCUGAUUUGGAGGAAGUAAUCUCUGCCAUGCAAUCCCCAUAGGUCUGAAUAGAUGAUCCUUAGGAGUUUCCUUGUCCCUGAUAAGAAUUUUAUAAUCCUGUGGUCACCUUGGGAUGAGCCUCUUGGGAAUCAGCUUGGCUGGUUCUAAGCAUACACCUUCACCAGCAAGCCCAUCCUUAUGAGACCAAGGCUGCCUAAGCAACUUGGAGCUCUAGUGCCUAUUCUCAGUAGAGAGGGAAUAGGGAGA
Non-coding RNA from Monodelphis domestica (gray short-tailed opossum), 5701 nucleotides. NCBI's taxonomy places the organism in Eukaryota, Metazoa, Chordata, Mammalia, Didelphimorphia, Didelphidae. The record is from RefSeq and is a predicted model, not a curated record.